AGGACUAGAAAAGUUGCUUAAGAUUGAUAAGCCUUGAGGAUUUGAGAUCUUGGAAUGCAUCUCUAACUUGGCAAGAGACUUGAGGUUUACAUCCUCGAUGACCAUGUUUCAUUGUUGUGGGAUGAUGAAAGCGAUGAACAUUCUUAAGUCCGCUGACGUGUGCAACAGGUGGGUUAUCUACCGAGAUGUGGGAAUGCUACGUGGUUUCUUUAGAAACAAAGAAGAUCUUCCAAAAGUGACAGAGCACAGCUGUCAAGCUAUUGCAGCAGACGAAAGAAGAAUUAGAAAGAUAGCGACUUUCCCAUACGAUAAAAAAUCAACCCUUC
This 326-nucleotide long non-coding RNA is filed under the name Musa acuminata (dwarf banana). Its description in RNAcentral is "long non-coding RNA (MACU_LNC005173)". The record is from RNAcentral. Lineage: Eukaryota; Viridiplantae; Streptophyta; Magnoliopsida; Zingiberales; Musaceae.